Molecule: ribosomal RNA, 200 nt
Filed under: uncultured bacterium
Lineage: Bacteria
Description: partial 16S ribosomal RNA
Rfam family: Bacterial small subunit ribosomal RNA
Source: RNAcentral
AGGCUGCAACUCGCCUACACGAAGCUGGAAUCGCUAGUAAUCGCGGAUCAGAAUGCCGCGGUGAAUACGUUCCCGGGUCUUGUACACACCGCCCGUCACACCAUGGGAGUCGGAAAUGCCCGAAGCCGGUGACUCAACCUUUAAGGAGAGAGCCGUCGAAGGCAGGUCUGAUAACUGGGGUGAAGUCGUAACAAGGUAUC